GACGAACGCUGGCGGCGUGCUUAACACAUGCAAGUCGAACGGAAAGGCCCUGCUUUUGUGGGGUGCUCGAGUGGCGAACGGGUGAGUAACACGUGAGUAACCUGCCCUUGACUUUGGGAUAACUUCGGGAAACUGGGGCUAAUACCGGAUAGGAGCUCCUGCUGCAUGGUGGGGGUUGGAAAGUUUCGGCGGUUGGGGAUGGACUCGCGGCUUAUCAGCUUGUUGGUGGGGUAGUGGCUUACCAAGGCUUUGACGGGUAGCCGGCCUGAGAGGGUGACCGGCCACAUUGGGACUGAGAUACGGCCCAGACUCCUACGGGAGGCAGCAGUGGGGAAUAUUGCACAAUGGGCGGAAGCCUGAUGCAGCAACGCCGCGUGCGGGAUGACGGCCUUCGGGUUGUAAACCGCUUUCACCUGUGACGAAGCGUGAGUGACGGUAAUGGGUAAAGAAGCACCGGCUAACUACGUG
This 468-nucleotide ribosomal RNA is filed under the name uncultured bacterium. RNAcentral describes it as "partial 16S ribosomal RNA". It matches the Rfam family "Bacterial small subunit ribosomal RNA", at positions 28 to 507 of the family's 1533-position model. The record is from RNAcentral.